CCUACGGGCGGCAGCAGUGAGGAAUAUUGGUCAAUGGACGAGAGUCUGAACCAGCCAAGUAGCGUGAAGGAUGACUGCCCUAUGGGUUGUAAACUUCUUUUAUCUGGGAAUAAAACAGUGUAUGCAUACCCUCUUGUAUGUACCAUAUGAUUAAGGUCCGGUUAACUCCGUGCCAGCAACUGCGGUAAUAGGGGGGAUCCGGACGUUAUCGGGAUUUAUUGGGUUUAAAGGGUGCGCAGGUGGAUUGUUAGGGCAGGUGUGAAAGUUAGCGGUUAAAGCGGAGAAGUGCAAUUGAAACUGGCAUGCUGGAGUACAGUAGAGGCGGGAGGAAUGUGUGGUGUAGCGGGGAAAUGCUUAGAUAUCACGAAGAACUCCGAUUGCGAAGGCAGCUCACGGGACUGCAACUGACACUGAUGCUCGAAAGUGUGGGUAUCAAACAGGAUUAGAGACCCCAGUAGUC
This 460-nucleotide ribosomal RNA is filed under the name uncultured bacterium. RNAcentral describes it as "partial 16S ribosomal RNA". It matches the Rfam family "Bacterial small subunit ribosomal RNA", at positions 338 to 795 of the family's 1533-position model. The record is from RNAcentral.